AUGGUUGCGUUGGAUACAAUUGAUAAAGCCAGUCAGUCAGUGGUGGAUGUCCAUACAGCCACACAGCUAUAUAACGUACCGGAACUCAGACCCGAACGCUGUUUUUGCAGGCGUCGGGACCCGAACGACUUCCAGCUUGACGCAGUUUCCGGUCUUUUCGCGGUACUUCCCGGCACACGAUCGCCAUCUAACCUCAUGGAACAAACAAAGCAAGCAAGCAGCAGACAGCACACAAAGAACAAUCUGGCAACGAAUCAAUCGCGAGGAGCAGUAUAUGAACCGGCUUGAUUGGUGAUCAGGAGGCUGGCUGAUAAGGAUGCUUGGCUGACUGGCAGAGUGGAACAGUACUGAGCUGGCUGAGGUGAACAGGUGAGGAGGAGGGCAGACUGUAACAAAAGGUGUGCUUGCAGAUUAAGUGAGAAUCAAUGGAGUUUCUUACUUGUUGUACAAUUUAGAACAUUAAUAUAGCAGCAAACAACUAUUUGCUAUUUAAUGCAACAGCUGUUUUUCUCAAGGAUUUGUUUCUACCAAACCAGAGAUGAUCAUCAGAGAUUGUUGGAACAGUGGAAAAACUAAAACACAGUUUUGAUGAGCUUUAUCUUGUUUUGUAACUUUGAAUGAAGUUACCAUUAUCUUUGAGGUUAUGUUACCGUUUUUGUCUAUGGUGGCAAACAACAGCAAUAUUGUGGCUGUUUCUGGUUAAACAAAAGGUCUAUCUCUGUAUGACAGACACUUAGAAUAACAGUCAGAGCCUGUCAGUGGCAACUUUUAGUGGACGUGUUCGGAAGGGCACAUUUGUCCCCAAUGAUUAGCUAAUGUUAGGUACACGUAUUUGUUAAUUGUAUAUGUAAAUGUAUAGUAGUUUUGACCAAACCAGACAUGCUGUUGUAGUCAUAAAGACGAAACAAAGACUUUAUUGAAGAGUGUGGUUUAUGAUCUGCAAGGUAAAAUCUGUGUUUUUGUCAAUAGAUUCUGAUGAGUCAUUUGGUCUGGUCUGCUGUGCUCUAGUGCGACAUCGACUCUGAAUGUCUGAAAGUCGUGUACAGCACCUGUUGAACCUGGUCUUAGUCUAUAUUUUUGUUAUUUUAAAAAAAUCAACAAAAAAAGACUAAAACCAACAAUUUCUUUAAAACAUUUUUGUCCCUUAUUUAACACCAUAACAGAAAGGGAGAUUGUGACCAUAUUUCACAGUUGGUCGG
Molecule: long non-coding RNA, 1199 nt
Filed under: Dicentrarchus labrax (European seabass)
Lineage: Eukaryota; Metazoa; Chordata; Actinopteri; Moronidae
Description: lncRNA (ENSDLAG00005031718.1)
Source: RNAcentral